Molecule: non-coding RNA, 993 nt
Filed under: Gerres oyena (common silver-biddy)
Lineage: Eukaryota; Metazoa; Chordata; Actinopteri; Gerreiformes; Gerreidae
Description: 12S ribosomal RNA
Rfam family: Bacterial small subunit ribosomal RNA
Source: RNAcentral
CAAAAGCUUGGUCCUGGCUUUGUUGUCAGCUUUAACUUAAUUUACACAUGCAAGUAUCCGCGCCCCUGUGAGGAUGCCCUACAGUUCCCUGACUGGGAACAAGGAGCUGGUAUCAGGCACAUCUUUCGAUCGUUGCGCCCUCCAUCCUACUCUUCCCCCCCCCCCCGCGCCGCCCAAAACACCUUGCUUUGCCACACCCUCAAGGGAACUCAGCAGUGAUAGAUAUUAAGCCAUAAGUGAAAACUUGACUUAGUUAAGGUUUAGAGGGCCGGUAAAAUUCGUGCCAGCCACCGCGGUUAUACGAAAGGCCCAAGUUGACCACCACCGGCGUAAAGCGUGGUUAGGUUUAUGUACAAUAUGACUAAAGUCGAACUCCUUCAAGGCCGUUUAACGUGUUCGAAAGGGAGAAGCACAACUACGAAAGUGACUUUACAAACCUGACUCCACGAAAGCUAAGGCACAAACUGGGAUUAGAUACCCCACUAUGCUUAGCCCUAAACAUAGAUAGAAUGCCACCCUUCUAUCCGCCCGGGUACUACGAGCAUUAGCUUAAAACCCAAAGGACUUGGCGGUGCUUUAGACCCAUCUAGAGGAGCCUGUUCUAGAACCGAUACUCCCCGUUAAACCUCACCCCUCUUUGUCUCUUCCGCCUAUAUACCGCCGUCGUAAGCUUAUCCCGUGAGGGUCUAGUAUUUAGCUUAAUCGGCACAGCCCCAAACGUCAGGUCGAGGUGUAGCUAAUGGAGGGGGAAGAAAUGGGCUACAUUUCCUCGCGACAGGAAAUACGGAUAACGUACUGAAAUACGCGUUUGAAGGUGGAUUUAGUAGUAAGCAGUAAACAGAGUGUGCUGCUGAAACUGGCUCUGAAGCGCGCACACACCGCCCGUCACUCUCCCCAAGCAACUUUUUAAUCUUUUUAAAUAAAAUCCCGCCUUUGCAAAGGGGAGGCAAGUCGUAACAUGGUAAGUGCACCGGAAGGUGUACUUGGACUAAC